CACGCCCUAAACGAUGUCAACUGGUUGUUGGGAGGGUUCCUUCUCAGUAACGUAGCUAACGCGUGAAGUUGACCGCCUGGGGAGUACGGCCGCAAGGUUAAAACUCAAAGGAAUUGACGG
RNAcentral lists this ribosomal RNA (120 nucleotides) under uncultured bacterium. RNAcentral describes it as "partial 16S ribosomal RNA". It matches the Rfam family "Bacterial small subunit ribosomal RNA", at positions 796 to 916 of the family's 1533-position model. The record is from RNAcentral.